AGCAGCCGCGGUAAUUCCAGCUCCAAUAGCGUAUAUUAAAGUUGUUGCAGUUAAAAAGCUCGUAGUUGAAUUUCGGGGUCAGUAGGUUGGUCAUGCCACUGGUAUGUACUGGUCUCACUGAUUCCUCCUUCCUGAUGAGCCGUAAUGCCAUUAAUUUGGUGUUGCGAGGAAUCUGGACUGUUACUUUGAAAAAAUUAGAGUGUUUAAAGCAAGCUAACGCUUGAAUACAUUAGCAUGGAAUAAUGAAAUAGGACGUUCGAUCCUAUUUUGUUGGUUUCUAGGAUUGACGUAAUGAUUAAUAGGGAUAGUUGGGGGCAUUAGUAUUCAAUUGUCAGAGGUGAAAUUCUUGGAUUUAUUGAAGACUAACUACUGCGAAAGCAUUUGCCAAGGAUGUUUUCAUUAAUCAAGAACGAAAGUUAGGGGAUCGAAGACGAUCAGAUACCGUCGUAGUCUUAACCAUAAACUAUAGCCGACUAGGGAUCGGAUGAUGUAAUUUUUAAUGACUCAUUC
This 510-nucleotide ribosomal RNA is filed under the name uncultured Glomus. RNAcentral describes it as "SSU rRNA". It matches the Rfam family "Eukaryotic small subunit ribosomal RNA", at positions 569 to 1081 of the family's 1831-position model. The record is from RNAcentral. Lineage: Eukaryota; Fungi; Glomeromycota; Glomeromycetes; Glomerales; Glomeraceae.